RNAcentral lists this ribosomal RNA (442 nucleotides) under uncultured bacterium. RNAcentral's name for it is "partial 16S ribosomal RNA". It matches the Rfam family "Bacterial small subunit ribosomal RNA", at positions 338 to 795 of the family's 1533-position model. The record is from RNAcentral.
CCUACGGGGGGCAGCAGUGGGGAAUAUUGGGCAAUGGGCGCAAGCCUGACCCAGCAACGCCGCGUGAAGGAAGAAGGCUUUCGGGUUGUAAACUUCUUUUGUCAGGGAAGAGUAGAAGACGGUACCUGACGAAUAAGCCACGGCUAACUACGUGCCAGCAGCCGCGGUAAUACGUAGGUGGCAAGCGUUGUCCGGAUUUACUGGGUGUAAAGGGCGUGUAGGCGGGGACGCAAGUCAGAUGUGAAAACCACGGGCUCAACCUGUGGCCUGCAUUUGAAACUGUGUUUCUUGAGUACUGGAGAGGCAGACGGAAUUCCUAGUGUAGCGGUGAAAUGCGUAGAUAUUAGGAGGAACACCAGUGGCGAAGGCGGUCUGCUGGACAGCAACUGACGCUGAGGCGCGAAAGCGUGGGGAGCAAACAGGAUUAGAUACCCCAGUAGUC